Long non-coding RNA from Alosa alosa (allis shad), 604 nucleotides. RefSeq lists it as uncharacterized. The record is from RefSeq and is a predicted model, not a curated record. The transcript has 5 exons. NCBI's taxonomy places the organism in Eukaryota, Metazoa, Chordata, Actinopteri, Clupeiformes, Clupeidae.
AGUUUACUGCCUAAUGAAAUUAUUUAAGUUAUUACCAGUCAUGUUGCUUAAAAAGUAGGGAUUAUAUGAACAUAUUUUAAGACAAAACACUUGCGGUUGAAACAUUUGGUAACCUGUGGUAAAUAAUGUCAGAAUAAAGUUUAGAAGUCCUUUGCUGGUUAGUUGAUAUACUGCUGAUAGUCAAAUCAUUGUUGUUCUUGUAUUGGUGUAAUCAUUUUCUUUGUUUUAACAGGGUCAGCAAAAUGCUCAUCAAUGUCCAGUACCAUGGAGAAAAAAGUACCUCAAACUGCAGCCUGGUUUUUCCUUUCAAAGUUUAAUUCGAGAAGGCACCACUGGUGCAAAAGAAGAGAACACCUCUGCCAUAGGAGAUUCAGCAGAAAAAAGCCAAACAGAUGGUCCAGGAGGUUCUGGAGAAGAGUUAAAUGGGAGAGGAAAUAAUGGAGGAGUAUAGUAGAGCACCUUGACACACUACAAGAAGGCAUCUUCUGAAUAUCCUGGUCCAUGGGAUACCAGUACGAAGUCAAGGAAAAAGAUAUGCACUCGGCAUUGUGACUGUUUCCUAAUCUCAGGGAUCCUUACUCCACCAAUGGCUAUGAACACUUCU